UCUGAGUGCACUCCCCGCCCCGGGUGACCCAAGGAGAGAAGCUGAGGGCCCUACAAGUAGAGCUGUUACCCAGGGGUCUGCGUCCCGCCUCAGGGUGCUGCCGAGGAACCCAUGCGGGGAGCAGGGGAAGCAGCCCGCAGGGUGUGCUGGGGCCCAGCAGCUGUGCCUGGGGCUAACCCUGGACAGCACACGACAUCCAGGGUCCCAGCAGGCUGCUGAAGCCAUCUCCCUGCUCGGAACCCUCUACCCUUCGGAGCUCCCUGCUUCCCCCAGCUUGGCCGGCAGGUGAUGGCAGGAACUUCCGGGACCUUCUUGUGAUAAGGCUCGCACCAGAAAUCAAAAGGUCUUGCCUGGCUGUGAAAGACGCUUCACCACCGGGCCCAGCCUCCCCCGCCUCUGAAGGACCAGACCCCAGGAAACCCAGGAGGAGGGAGCGAGGCCAGGCGGUUUCGGUUUCUCACGAGCCCAGCUCAGAGGCAUCAGCAGCUCCUGCAGGCUGGAGGUUUGCACCUGGCUCAGCGAGGCCUGUGCCCCGCCACCCCCGCGGCAUGCACACCGUGAAGCACGGUAUGCUCAGGCCCACCUCAGCCCCAGGGCCGCUGGAUUCUGACGACCUGAAAAGAAGUCCCUUUGGCCGGCAGCGCACAGGCUUCUGCGCAGGGCCGUGUGAGUCAGGCGGGUCUUCGCUUGGCAUCCGCGUCCAAGUGAGCGAUUUUGAAGGGCUGCGCUCCCCCCAGGGGCCCCCCAGCUAAGACUGCAGGACGGAUCCAAUGUUUCUGGAAAGUUCUGAGUUUGUCUCACCUUCUCUGUCUAUUUCUCUCUGUUCCUCUCUCUCAAAAAUCAAGCCUGGCAAAGCUCGCAGAAUAAAAUCGUUUAUUUCCACAAAAU
This 888-nucleotide long non-coding RNA is filed under the name Ictidomys tridecemlineatus (thirteen-lined ground squirrel). RNAcentral's name for it is "lncRNA (ENSSTOG00000034464.1)". Lineage: Eukaryota; Metazoa; Chordata; Mammalia; Rodentia; Sciuridae. The record is from RNAcentral.